This 3055-nucleotide unclassified non-coding RNA is filed under the name Drosophila yakuba. Its description in RNAcentral is "GE17851". The record is from RNAcentral. Lineage: Eukaryota; Metazoa; Arthropoda; Insecta; Diptera; Drosophilidae.
UCGUAUGCUUUUUGUGUUUGUGUUGAAUAGCCUGACGAAUUUCCAAUUAGGCACACACCUGUUUUUCAACUCGCUUGAAAAACCUAAGCAAAGUAAAGUCAGUCUUCGAAAUCAUGCACUUGAGCUACCUGCCAAUACUCACCGCCCUGUUUUUCCACCCACAAGCCGACGGCAGCGCUGUCAGUCGCCUCCCACAGUGGGUGGUACCGCUUCACUAUAGCGUUGAUAUCGUGACGCGUAUCAAUCAACCCUAUCAACCAUUCGGCGGCACUGUGGUUAUUGAUCUACGGUCGGAGAGAUCCACCAAUAAAAUAGUGCUAAAUGCCCACGAUUUGGCUAUUGGCAAGCAAAGGGCGGUGACCCUGUCCAUCAAGGAUGGCAACUCGGUGCCGAUUAGCAGCAUAAAGAUGGACAUUAAACUUAGUCGGCUGACGGUGUACGUGAAGAGAUCUCUGCAGAUCAACAUCACGUACUCAUUGCGGGUGGCAUUUACUAGUGUUUUGAGAGGUGACAACACGGGUUUCUAUAGCAGCAACUAUGUGGAUCAUAAUACCACUUUAACCCAAUGGCUGGCGGCCACCCAAUUCGAACCGAACCACGCCCGCGAGGCAUUCCCCUGCUUCGAUGAUCCCAUAUUCCGGACACCCUUCAAGAUCAAUCUGGCCCAUCCGCAUAUGUAUCGCGCUCUGUCCAACAUGCCCGUCCAGCGGACCAUUCGCCACGCCAACCUGAAGGACUUUGUGUGGACGCAGUUCGUCGAGAGCCAUCCAAUGCAGACGUACCUGGUGGCCUUCGUGAUCGGCAAGUUCGACAGGCCGGGCUUCACCUCCAGCGAGCGACCGGAUUGUCCCAUUAGCACGUGGGCUCGUCCGGAUGCACUGUCGCAAACGAAGUUCGCCAACAUGGUGGUGGCACCGUUGCUCUCCUUCUACGAGGAGCUCUUCAACAGUACCUAUCGGCCGAAGAAGAUCGAUUUGGUGGCACUGCCCGAUUACGCCUUUAAGUCGAAGGAGAGCUGGGGCAUGCCCACCUUCACGGAGGAAUCCCUAUUGUACGAUAGCCAGCGGAGUUCCAUGGACGAUCAACAGGGCGUGGCACGGGCGGUGGCCAUGAUGGUGGUGAAUCAGUGGUUUGGCAACCUGGUCUCCAUACCCUGGUGGCAUGAGAUCUGGCUGAAGAACGCCUUUGCGCUGUAUCUCUCGCGUUUUGGUGUGCACACACUGCGUCCGGAGUGGGAUUACCAGGAGCGGCACGCCCUGAAGCUAUACCUCUCCGUCCUCGACUACGAUGCCCAUGUGAACACGGAUCUGGUGACGGCAUCCGUGCCCGAUGAGAGCCAAAUUUGGGCGGCGUACAAUGAGAUUGGGGAGCGCAAGGCGGCCGUGCUCUUCGAGAUGCUGCACCGCGUCAUGGGCGAAGGGGCGUGGCUGACGGCAUUGCGUCGCUAUCUGGUGAUCUAUGCCAAUCGCACCGCCACAUCCGCCGACUUUUGGAACCUAUUGCAACUGCAGGUGGAUCGCAAUGGACGCCUGGGCAAGGGCCUGAAUAUCACGAGGAUCAUGAAUUGCUGGCUAGGGCAACCGGGUUAUCCACUGCUCACCGUCACCCGGAACUACGAGCAUCGUACGGCUGUCGUGAGUCAACAGCGUUUCUUCAUCACUCCGCAGUUCCGGAACCGCUGGUCAAUGCAUCCCUGCUGGUGGGUUCCGCUCAGCUAUACGUGCCCCAGUUGCCAAAACUCGGAUAGCAGCUCCUCCAUCAGCCGCUGGCUCACCUGUCCGAUCUCUAAGGCUUCGGGUAGAUCCAGUAGCGUUCUACUGGACAGACUGGAGUCGGGGCCCAACGACUGGAUACUGAUCAACGUGCAACACUCGGCUCCAGUUCGCGUGAACUAUGACCCCUACAACUGGCAGCUGCUGAACAAAACGCUCGCUGAUCCCAUAAAGUUUCGCCUCAUCCAUCGUGUUAACCGCGCCCAGCUGGUCGACGAUCUAUUUAGUUUGGCCUGGAGCGGCGAUAUCGAGUAUGACAUGGCCCUGGGCAUACUCGGCUAUCUGGAGCACGAGGACGAAUUCGUGGUCUGGGCAGCCACCGAGACCAACUUCGAGCGCAUCAACAACGUGGCCAAGAGGAGCCCAAACUAUCUGAUCUAUAAGACCUUCAUGCGUCACCUGCUGGAGCAGCAGUUCAAGCGGUUGCUAUCCUCGGACAUGACCAGCUCCUUGGGGAACAUGACCCAUCGCGCCGUCAUCAUCAGGCUGGCCUGCGAGUACGAGCUGCCCGCCUGUGUGAGUCUCGCUCGUCGGGAAUUCAUGAGGGGAACGCCGACGGUGGACGGAUGGAUGACCAUCCGCGAGCGGGAAACGGUCGUCUGCACGGCGGUCAAGUUUGGCACGGAAGGCGACCGUGAUACCGUGGAAUCGAUGUACAAGCGCUCCAACUUUGCCGCCGAGAAGGAAUCGCUAUUGACCGCUUUGGCCUGUUCGCGGAAUGUCUUCGCCCUGCAAAAGGUCCUCAUAUGGACAUUUGAGAGCUCGGGUGUGCGAAAGCAAAACGCCAGGCGAACCUUCAAGGCUGUGGUCUCCAACUCCAUGGGCUAUCGCUUGGCCAAGAAGUACGUGUCCGCCAACAUGCAAAGCAUACGCAACUUUUGUAGCAACUCCACCGACAAGGUUGUUAAUCUCAUGAGACCGCUGAUCGAAUGCAUGUCCACUCCGAAGGAUAUGCUCUUCUUUAGCAAGUUCUUCAAGGAGAUCCUGCGCGACAUGAACGGCAGUGACCGGCUCAUCAAGAUCCUGCUGGAACGGGGCAACGAUAACAUCCACUGGCGGCGCACCAAGUUCAGCCCCAUGUUGCAGGCCAUUCGGGACAUAAUCCUUUGGCGAAGUCGGUCCAAUUCGAAAAACAUAUAAAAGGGCAUUGAUUGCAAUAGAAACACAAUUAAUGGUCCAAAUGUUAAAUGUCGUAAUUCGAUAAUCAGGCAAGACUUCGAGUUACUAAUUCAGCAAUUUAGCUGUUACAAGGACCCAAUUGACCUGUUGCCCAGGACCUGGCA